This 468-nucleotide ribosomal RNA is filed under the name uncultured bacterium. Its description in RNAcentral is "partial 16S ribosomal RNA". It matches the Rfam family "Bacterial small subunit ribosomal RNA", at positions 28 to 507 of the family's 1533-position model. The record is from RNAcentral.
GACGAACGCUGGCGGCGUGCUUAACACAUGCAAGUCGAACGGAAAGGCCCUGCUUUUGUGGGGUGCUCGAGUGGCGAACGGGUGAGUAACACGUGAGUAACCUGCCCUUGACUUUGGGAUAACUUCAGGAAACUGGGGCUAAUACCGGAUAGGAGCUCCUGCUGCAUGGUGGGGGUUGGAAAGUUUCGGCGGGUGGGGAUGGACUCGCGGCUUAUCAGCUUGUUGGUGGGGUAGUGGCUUACCAAGGCUUUGACGGGUAGCCGGCCUGAGAGGGUGACCGGCAACAUUGGGACUGAGAUACGGCCCAGACUCCUACGGGAGGCAGCAGUGGGGAAUAUUGCACAAUGGGCGGAAGCCUGAUGCAGCAACGCCGCGUGCGGGAUGACGGCCUUCGGGUUGUAAACCGCUUUCGCCUGUGACGAAGCGUGAGUGACGGUAAUGGGUAAAGAAGCACCGGCUAACUACGUG